GGCUGUCGUCAGCUCGUGUUGUGAAAUGUUGGGUUAAGUCCCGCAACGAGCGCAACCCUUAUCCUUGUUUGCCAGCGAGUCAUGUCGGGAACUCCAGGGAGACUGCCGGUGAUAAACCGGAGGAAGGUGGGGACGACGUCAAGUCAUCAUGGCCCUUACGAGUAGGGCUACACACGUGCUACAAUGGCGCAUACAGAGGGCAGCAAGCUAGCGAUAGUGAGCGAAUCCNNAAAAGUGCGUCGUAGUCCGGAUUGGAGUCUGCAACUCGACUCCAUGAAGUCGGAAUCGCUAGUAAUCGUGAAUCAGAAUGUCAC
This 314-nucleotide ribosomal RNA is filed under the name uncultured Gammaproteobacteria bacterium. RNAcentral describes it as "bacterial SSU rRNA". It matches the Rfam family "Bacterial small subunit ribosomal RNA", at positions 1047 to 1360 of the family's 1533-position model. Lineage: Bacteria; Pseudomonadati; Pseudomonadota; Gammaproteobacteria. The record is from RNAcentral.